UUCCGUAGGUGAACCUGCGGAAGGAUCAUUAUUAUUUGGGUCGGGUUACUUCUUAACAAGAAAUAGACUUUUACCAAAUAAAUUUAUUUUUUACUCCUAUUAGGAGCAAGAUGAACUUAUAUUUAAAACCCACCUCUUUAAAUGUAUAUUUUUUAUUUUAAAUGAUAAUUAAAGAUCACUUUCAACAACGGAUCUCUUGGCUCUCGCAUCGAUGAAGAACGUAGCGAAGUGCGAUAAGUAAUGUGAAUUGCAGAAUUCCGUGAAUCAUCGAAUCUUUGAACGCAUAUUGCACUCUCUGGUAUUCCGUAGAGUAUGCCUGUUUGAGGGUCUGUUAAAUAAAAAUCGGGGUUGUUGCUGCUUUUUGUGGUGACGCUUCGGAAUUGGGUAGUCUUACCUUCGGGUUAAGUGACCUAAAAUUUUACAUGAUUUUUCGAACGUAUUUGAAUUUUUACGUACGUUUGUGAUAUCGAUAUUAGGUGUGGUCAUCCUCAUGAUUCACGUCUAUAAUUUUUUCAUUUUUAGACCUCAAAUCAGGUAAGAACACCCGCUGAACUUAAGCAUAUCAAUAAGCGGAGGAAAAGGCGAAUU
Molecule: ribosomal RNA, 588 nt
Filed under: uncultured glomeraceous AM fungus
Lineage: Eukaryota; Fungi; Glomeromycota; Glomeromycetes; Glomerales; Glomeraceae
Description: eukaryotic LSU rRNA
Rfam family: 5.8S ribosomal RNA (bases 177-330)
Source: RNAcentral